CGGUGAUGAGGAGCUUGCUUCUCUGAUCAGUGGCGAACGGGUGAGUAACACGUGAGCAAUCUGCCCUUGACUCUGGGAUAAGCGUUGGAAACGACGUCUAAUACCGGAUACGACUCUUGGAGGCAUCUCUGGGGGUGGAAAGAAUUUUGGUCAAGGAUGAGCUCGCGGCCUAUCAGCUUGUUGGUGAGGUAAUGGCUCACCAAGGCGACGACGGGUAGCCGGCCUGAGAGGGUGACCGGCCACACUGGGACUGAGACACGGCCCAGACUCCUACGGGAGGCAGCAGUGGGGAAUAUUGCACAAUGGGCGAAAGCCUGAUGCAGCAACGCCGCGUGAGGGACGACGGCCUUCGGGUUGUAAACCUCUUUUAGUAGGGAAGAAGCGUAACAGUGACGGUACCUGCAGAAAAAGCACCGGCUAACUACGUGCCAGCAGCCGCGGUAAUACGUAGGGUGCAAGCGUUGUCCGGAAUUAUUGGGCGUAAAGAGCUCGUAGGCGGUUUGUCGCGUCUGCUGUGAAAACCCGAGGCUCAACCUCGGGCCUGCAGUGGGUACGGGCAGACUAGAGUGCGGUAGGGGAGAUUGGAAUUCCUGGUGUAGCGGUGGAAUGCGCAGAUAUCAGGAGGAACACCAAUGGCGAAGGCAGAUCUCUGGGCCGUAACUGACGCUGAGGAGCGAAAGCAUGGGGAGCGAACAGGAUUAGAUACCCUGGUAGUCCAUGCCGUAAACGUUGGGAACUAGAUGUGGGGACCAUUCCACGGUCUCCGUGUCGCAGCUAACGCAUUAAGUUCCCCGCCUGGGGAGUACGGCCGCAAGGCUAAAACUCAAAGGAAUUGACGGGGGCCCGC
RNAcentral lists this ribosomal RNA (847 nucleotides) under Actinomycetales bacterium 28-6PB. RNAcentral describes it as "bacterial SSU rRNA". It matches the Rfam family "Bacterial small subunit ribosomal RNA", at positions 67 to 924 of the family's 1533-position model. Lineage: Bacteria; Bacillati; Actinomycetota; Actinomycetes; Actinomycetales. The record is from RNAcentral.